UACGUAGGGUGCAAGCGUUAAUCGGAAUUACUGGGCGUAAAGCGUGCGCAGGCGGUUGUGCAAGACAGAUGUGAAAUCCCCGGGCUCAACCUGGGAACUGCAUUUGUGACUGCACGGCUGGAGUGCGGCAGAGGGGGAUGGAAUUCCGCGUGUAGCAGUGAAAUGCGUAGAUAUGCGGAGGAACACCGAUGGCGAAGGCAAUCCCCUGGGCCUGCACUGACGCUCAUGCACGAAAGCGUGGGGAGCGAAACAAGG
This 255-nucleotide ribosomal RNA is filed under the name uncultured bacterium. RNAcentral's name for it is "partial 16S ribosomal RNA". It matches the Rfam family "Bacterial small subunit ribosomal RNA", at positions 524 to 777 of the family's 1533-position model. The record is from RNAcentral.